GUCGCCUCCUAAAAGGUAACGGAGGCGCUCAAAGGUUCCCUCAGAAUGGUUGGAAAUCAUUCAUAGAGUGUAAAGGCAUAAGGGAGCUUGACUGCGAGACCUACAAGUCGAGCAGGGUCGAAAGACGGACUUAGUGAUCCGGUGGUUCCGCAUGGAAGGGCCAUCGCUCAACGGAUAAAAGCUACCCCGGGGAUAACAGGCUUAUCUCCCCCAAGAGUUCACAUCGACGGGGAGGUUUGGCACCUCGAUGUCGGCUCAUCGCAUCCUGGGGCUGUAGUCGGUCCCAAGGGUUGGGCUGUUCGCCCAUUAAAGCGGUACGCGAGCUGGGUUCAGAACGUCGUGAGACAGUUCGGUCCCUAUCCGUCGUGGGCGUAGGAAAUUUGAGAGGAGCUGUCCUUAGUACGAGAGGACCGGGAUGGACAUACCUCUGGUGUACCAGUUGUCGUGCCAACGGCAUAGCUGGGUAGCUAUGUGUGGACGGGAUAAGUGCUGAAAGCAUCUAAGCAUGAAGCCCCCCUCAAGAUGAGAUUUCCCAACUUCGGUUAUAAGAUCCCUCAAAGAUGAUGAGGUUAAUAGGUUCGAGGU
This 585-nucleotide ribosomal RNA is filed under the name Staphylococcus aureus. RNAcentral describes it as "partial 23S ribosomal RNA". It matches the Rfam family "Bacterial large subunit ribosomal RNA", at positions 2282 to 2868 of the family's 2925-position model. Lineage: Bacteria; Bacillati; Bacillota; Bacilli; Caryophanales; Staphylococcaceae. The record is from RNAcentral.